UACGGGGGGGGCAAGCGUUGUUCGGAAUUACUGGGCGUAAAGGGCUCGUAGGCGGCCAACUAAGUCAGACGUGAAAUCCCUCGGCUUAACCGGGGAACUGCAUCUGAUACUGGAUGGCUUGAGAUUGGGAGAGGGAUGCGGAAUUCCAGGUGUAGCGGUGAAAUGCGUAGAUAUCUGGAGGAACACCGGUGGCGAGGGCGGCAUCCUGGACCAACACUGACGCUGAGGAGCGAAAGCCAGGGGAGCAAACGGG
RNAcentral lists this ribosomal RNA (253 nucleotides) under uncultured bacterium. RNAcentral's name for it is "partial 16S ribosomal RNA". It matches the Rfam family "Bacterial small subunit ribosomal RNA", at positions 524 to 776 of the family's 1533-position model. The record is from RNAcentral.